Long non-coding RNA from Anopheles merus, 1406 nucleotides. RefSeq lists it as uncharacterized. Lineage: Eukaryota; Metazoa; Arthropoda; Insecta; Diptera; Culicidae. The record is from RefSeq and is a predicted model, not a curated record. The transcript is spliced from 3 exons.
CCUUUCUGGUUAAACUUUUGCUACUUCUAUUCGAGCUGUCCUUGACAGCACGUUGUCGUUAUCAACACUCGCUUGGCUAAUCCACACGAGGUCGAUAUCGUGCCAACACCCCACCCCGUAAAUCCUUAGUGAAGCAGGAUUUGCUUAAAAUAAGCACGAUAUAAAAAUCUCCUGCUUUCGUUAAGGCCUUCAAAUACCUCAUAAGGUGUGCUUUGUGCCUUUCGUAUUGCUCAUAUAUAGGAUGACGCUUACGCUUCCCUACAUUCAACCUGUCGAUCAACCUUCGUCGAUCUGGACAUGAUCCAACGUUUUGCAGCUUUUCUCUACCACUUGCUUGUGGGAUACAAAAACGUAGAUCAAUUCGACCUGGGGUACACUUGUCUCGCAACGCGCAUGCUGUAAUCUUAUUUGUGAUCGUGUCGGUUUUCACAGCCGAUACUGCAAGCUGUCCAUCUCAAUCUGUUUCUCUCCGUCGUGUGCUUGGCGAUGCUGUCGAUCUUGGGUGGUGCCAUCAAUUCGGUGGGAUGUGUUCCGGCCAAAAACUUCAACUCCCCUUUUAGGGAAGGCAGAUAAAUUUGGCGAUAUCGCGGAGAUGCGGCAGCAGACAAAACGAGUUUGUCCACACUCGUUACAAAAAACAGCUAAGUUUGCUGCUUCACGAACAAUAUUUCACCAAAAUAAUCCAUAACUUUGCUCACUUUCAGGGACUGUCGAUUCUACCGUUCCUGAAAGGGGAGUCAAGGUUAACGAUCGGUACACAACAAACCGAUCCGAUAGCAACACGACAGAUGAGUGUUGGCACGAUAUCGAUCGCGUGUGAUCGGACAGGGAACAGUAUUAUUUACAAACAUCAAGCUGACUUGACAACUCGAUCAAAUACCCAAAAUACGCGGCAGAUGGCGUACAAGAUUCACAAAGAGAGAUAACACGAUUAGAUUGUGCGACAACCAGAACUCCGAAAUAUGGGCCAAUUCGCCAUCGCGAAACGCAGUUAGUAGCAAAAGUUAAGCUAGAAAGGACAGAAGAAUUUUUAAACUGAUCGGUGAUAAAUUUAUACGCGAGCGACAGUUGUAAAAACGUUUGUGAAAAGUUACCCAAAAUAGACAGAUUGCUACAUCCGUAGCAACAUACAUAAAAAAAGUAAUUUUCGCAAAAUUCAAUAAUGCAGCAUCCAAACUUAAAAUAAACAACACAUUUGGAAAAAAAUGCGAUAAUAUAUGCAAAAUUGGUUAAAUCCACGAACAAAAUAAAUUUUCGAUCGUGCGCACCUUUGUGGAUUUAAUUUGAUUACUACGGAUCUUAAGCUCUGUAACUUGUAUUGUUUAUAUUUUUUUUAUUACAUGAAUAAAUUUAUUUAUUCAUGUAAUAAAAAGUUUGACAUGAAUAAAUUGUCGUGAUUAUAAACC